ACUGGAUAGGCAAUUAUUCCUGCAAUGGUUUUUUGUUUAAAUGUUUUUUCGCCUAAGGAUGGGUCUGCGGCCGAUUAGGUAGUUGGUUAGGUAAUGGCUUACCAAGCCGUUGAUCGGUACGGGUUGUGAGAGCAAGAGCCCGGAGAUGGAACCUGAGACAAGGUUCCAGGCCCUACGGGGUGCAGCAGGCGCGAAACCUCCGCAAUGUGAGAAAUCGCGACGGGGGGAUCCCAAGUGCCAUUCUUAACGGGAUGGCUUUUCAUUAGUGUAAAGAGCUUUUGGAAUAAGGGGUGGGCAAGACCGGUGCCAGCCGCCGCGGUAACASCGGCAGGRMAGUGGUAGCAGUUUUUAUUGGGCCUAAAGCGUCCGUAGCCGGUUUAAUAAGUCUCUGGUGAAAUCCUGUAGCUUAACUGUGGGAAUUGCUGGAGAUACUAUUAGACUUGAGACCGGGAGAGGUUAGAGRUACUCCCAGGGUAGAGGUGAAAUUCUGUAAUCCUGGGAGGACCGCCUGUUGCGAASGCGUCUAACUGGAACGGUUCUGACGGUGAGGGACGAAAGUUARGGGCGCGAACCGGAUUAGAUACCCGGGUARUCCUAASCGUAAACGAUGCSGACUUGGUGUUGGGGUGGCUUUGAGCUGCUCCASUGCCGWAGGGAAGCUGUUUAAGUCCGCCGCCUGGGAAGCUACGGUCGCAAGACUGAAACUUAAAGARAAUUGGCGGGGGAGCACCWCAACGCGUGGAGCCUGCGGWUUAAUUGGUAUUCAACGCCGGACAUCUCACMAGAGGCGACAGCUGUAUGAUAGCCAGGCUGAUGACUUUGCUUUGACUAGCUGAGAGGAGGUGCAUGGCCGCCGUCAGCUCGUACCKUGAGGCGUCCUGUUAAGUCAGGCAACKRGCRAGAMCCACGCCCUUWRKUACCWRMRGAKCMUUUUGGAURCCRRGSACACUAAGGGRACCGCCUGUGAUAAACAGGAGGAAGGAGUGGACGACGGUAGGUCCGUAUGCCCCGAAUCCUCUGGGCAACACGCGGGCUACAAUGGCUAAGACAAUGGGUUCCGACACCGAA
Molecule: ribosomal RNA, 1068 nt
Filed under: uncultured Methanobrevibacter sp.
Lineage: Archaea; Methanobacteriati; Methanobacteriota; Methanobacteria; Methanobacteriales; Methanobacteriaceae
Description: partial 16S ribosomal RNA
Rfam family: Archaeal small subunit ribosomal RNA
Source: RNAcentral